Molecule: long non-coding RNA, 200 nt
Filed under: Elaeis guineensis (African oil palm)
Lineage: Eukaryota; Viridiplantae; Streptophyta; Magnoliopsida; Arecales; Arecaceae
Description: long non-coding RNA (EGUI_LNC061453)
Source: RNAcentral
CUUGCAACAUCAUCCUUAAGCCCAGAUCAGCGAGGUUAGAGCGUCUAACUUGCAAGGUAAUAGAUCUGAUCUAUUGUUUAAUACAUACAUUAGAUGUGGUAUAGAAACAUGUUGAUAUGAUCAACAUGUAGUUCAUGCUAUAUUUAUAUAUUUUAAUUUUUGAUUUAAUGUUAUGUAAUGAUCAUGUAAUAGGAUCUUAG